AUACGGGGGGUGCAAGCGUUGUCCGGAAUCAUUGGGCGUAAAGGGUUCGUAGGUGGAAUUAUAAGUUUGGUGUGAAAGCCCACAGCUCAACUGUGGAACUGCACAGGAUACUGUUUUUCUUGAGUUAUAGAGGGGUUUGUGGAAUUUCUGGUGUAGAGGUGAAAUUUGUAGAGAUCAGAAAGAACACCGGUGGCGAAGGCGACAAACUGGCUAUUAACUGACACUGAGGAACGAAAGCGUGGGGAGCGAACAGGAUUAGAUACCCUAGUAGUCC
Molecule: ribosomal RNA, 274 nt
Filed under: uncultured bacterium
Lineage: Bacteria
Description: partial 16S ribosomal RNA
Rfam family: Bacterial small subunit ribosomal RNA
Source: RNAcentral